AUGGGCAUGCAAUUGGCACCCAAAAAAUUUAAAAAUAAAAAUGUAUCCUUGUCGUCGCUCCGGCGGCGGCACACAAGGCCAGCUAUAACACAUAUAAAAAUGCAGCUCAGGGGUGGACAUGAAUUGCAGGUGGUUGCCAACACUUGCAGUUGCGAGUCUAGUGGCAGACAUGCAAUUGCAGUCGACAUGGCCCGCAUGCAGUUGCAACUCAGGGAAUGGGCAUGCAACUGGCACCCAAAAAAAUGCAUCCUUAUCGUCACCCCGGCGGCGGCACACAAGAUAAGAUAUAACCCAUAUGAAAAAUUAAGCUCGGGGUGA
This 318-nucleotide ribosomal RNA is filed under the name Triticum aestivum (bread wheat). Its description in RNAcentral is "partial small subunit ribosomal RNA". The record is from RNAcentral. Lineage: Eukaryota; Viridiplantae; Streptophyta; Magnoliopsida; Poales; Poaceae.